AUAACGCCUUAUGACAUGAAAACAAAAUCUAAACUUGCAGAGUCGUUUUGAAUUUGAAUAUCUAAUAAGUAUCAUCAAUGUCCAUUAAUAAGCACAGAAUGCAUAUUAAUUAUAACAUGAAGGUUUUAACUUAACGUCAACCUGCUGCUGCUGUUGCUUGUCUCUAAAUGGCUCUCACUGAUUUGGAUAUCAAUGAUUGUUGUUGUUCUAAACCAUAUCAUGUUAUAAUGGCUCGCUGAUCGUUGUUGUUCUGAACCAUAUGUUAUGACGGCUCUUGUUAUCAUCAAAAUCCCAACCAACAUGGAGAAGUCCUAUUUGUCGGUGAAUGAGAAUUACCUGAUUGCUUUAAAAAAGUCUUAAGUCUUAAACAUUUUUGUUUUUUAAAAAAAAAACUUUGGCUCCCACUCUUAGAUGUUUUUAAACCCCCUUUUAAUUUUGAUUUUUGCUUUUAACCUGUAGCCCUUUGAGAUCUUCGGACGAAGUUUAGAAAACUGUGUUUAGCAAUCGAAUAGAAAAUAACUUUGUUCUCCCGGUUAUUGACUCGGAUAGAAAAAGACUGAAAACAGUAUUUUUUUAAUAAACUCCCGGUACGCUAACUAAGUUGUUGAUGCUUCGUUUUAUAAAAUUAAAAAUAUUUUAAUAAAAUAGGAGGUGCAAACUAUACAUUUUUAGUGAGGUGUGGGUUGUUAGUACCACAUAGUAGGACAGGUCUACAUUGGUCUUGGGCCUGUGGGUCCCAUAACUCGGAAGCUAUUGAGCAAAAAGCUGUUUUCCAUAGAAAAAGAAUGGCCGAAUAUCCGUUGAAUAUCUGUCUCGGUCUGUUGAAAAGGAGACAAUGCAAUGUGAAUGUGAAAAGGAACCGCACCAAACCAAAAACUAAUGUUGCGUUUUGGUCCGGACCAUAAGGAUCGAACUAAGGACUUUCCUGGUGUGAAUAGGCCCUAAAUGAGCCUCCAUGAGUCCGGUCUCAUGGCAGCGUCUGGCUGCAGCAGAGAUGGAGCUGGAGGAGGAGAGAAAAGAGCAGGAAGAGAAAGGAAAGGAAACAUUCUUAACAACCUGGAGACCGUUGCUCUGAGAAACCAGCGUGAGAUGGGGGGACAGCUCCGCCUCCGGGAGGAGACCCAGGCCCUGCCGGGGCAGCUCGUCUCUCCAGGGUGUCUGGGGCCUGGGGCGGGGUGUGUCGGCGGGGGCUGACGGCCCCAAGCUGAAGCAGGCGGUGGGUGACAUCGCCAGCCUGACCCGGGUCAAGCAGCAGCCCAUCGCCAUGGGUACGGGCUCCGUGCCCAGCUCCAAACAUCUGGACCAGAGGGGACAGAGGGGCCAGGCUCUGCCAGAGCAAAGGAGUCCCAAGCUGGGGAGAGAGAGAGGGGGGAGCUGGACCACCGCCCGCCCACCCUGGAGGAGCUGGAGAAGAGGAAGUCCUGUCCAGGGCGCAAUUUGCUUGUGGGUGCUUGUGUUUAGGGCGGGGGGCGAGGGCACAACAUUUGCACCGGGCCAAUCACCAUGAUGUUACGCUGCUGCUAAGAGUGUUUUCAUCAGAGUAUUGUUUGGUUAAACUCAUAAGUGUUUUCAUUAAGUUUCAUACAAUAAAUUAUUCUGUGUAGCAGCACUUUGCA
This is a long non-coding RNA of Gadus macrocephalus (Pacific cod), 1616 nucleotides long. RefSeq lists it as uncharacterized. The record is from RefSeq and is a predicted model, not a curated record. Lineage: Eukaryota; Metazoa; Chordata; Actinopteri; Gadiformes; Gadidae. The transcript has 3 exons.